UUAGAUGACGACCACCGGGGCCUCCUAGA
This 29-nucleotide non-coding RNA is filed under the name Rattus norvegicus (Norway rat). Lineage: Eukaryota; Metazoa; Chordata; Mammalia; Rodentia; Muridae. The record is from RNAcentral.